This 235-nucleotide long non-coding RNA is filed under the name Helianthus annuus (common sunflower). RNAcentral's name for it is "sRNA HanXRQr2_Chr16g0727401". Lineage: Eukaryota; Viridiplantae; Streptophyta; Magnoliopsida; Asterales; Asteraceae. The record is from RNAcentral.
CUAGUGUAUUUACGAGCCGAGUGAACAAAUUCUGACCAUUGAUCUACACACGUGUAUGCCAGGAUCUCAUCAUCAAAUCUUCACUCAGUUCGCAAGCUACACUAGUGUUCACUCUUGAACCUAAUCCUUAAACAGUAAUGCCUUUAGAAGCUGGCUGGAGAUCAAAGGUAUCAAUGUGUUUAGUAGCAAUGUGAAAUUGUGCAACAUAAUUGGAUGUUGCUUUCCAUGACAUGUU